This 210-nucleotide unclassified non-coding RNA is filed under the name Hevea brasiliensis (rubber tree). The record is from RNAcentral. Lineage: Eukaryota; Viridiplantae; Streptophyta; Magnoliopsida; Malpighiales; Euphorbiaceae.
UCGGAUUUUCCUUCCCUCCAAACGCCAUUCCUACUGUUCUUUCUUUUUCACUUUUAUUUUCCGGGAAAGUUGGAGGAAGUUUUACAGGUUUUUAUGUUUGGCGCCCGGUGGUCUAAAAACUUUGGUGUCGUUUUCUCCGGGAAGUUCAUUUUCCCUGGAGAAUUUCACCUCCGAAUUUGCCUUCCGCCCGCUUCUUCUCUGAAUCAGGCC